GGGGUUGUGGCUCAAGUGGUAGAGUGCUCGCCUAGCACAUGUGAGGCACUGGGUUCGAUCCUCAGCACCACA
Molecule: transfer RNA, 72 nt
Filed under: Marmota monax (woodchuck)
Lineage: Eukaryota; Metazoa; Chordata; Mammalia; Rodentia; Sciuridae
Description: tRNA.Ala
Source: RNAcentral